CCUACGGGAGGCAGCAGUGGGGAAUAUUGGGCAAUGGGCGCAAGCCUGACCCAGCAAUGCCGCGUGAAGGAAGAAGGCUUUCGGGUUGUAAACUUCUUUGACAGGGGAAGAGCAGAAGACGGUACCCUGAAAACAAGCCACGGCUAACUACGUGCCAGAAGCCGCGGUAAUACGUAGGUGGCAAGCGUUGUACGGAUUUACUGGGUGUAAAGGGCGUGUAGCCGGGAAGGCAAGUCAGAUGUGAAAUCUGGAGGCUCAACCUCCAAAUUGCAUUUGAAACUGUUUUUCUUGAGUACUGGAGAGGCAGACAGAAGUCCUGGUGUAGCGGUGAAAUGCGUAGAUAUAAGGAGGAACACCAGUGGCGAAGGCGGUCUGCUGGACAGCAACUGACGGUGAGGCGCGAAAGCGUGGGGAGCAAACAGGAUUAGAUACCCUUGUAGUC
RNAcentral lists this ribosomal RNA (442 nucleotides) under uncultured bacterium. RNAcentral's name for it is "partial 16S ribosomal RNA". It matches the Rfam family "Bacterial small subunit ribosomal RNA", at positions 338 to 795 of the family's 1533-position model. The record is from RNAcentral.